RNAcentral lists this ribosomal RNA (449 nucleotides) under uncultured archaeon. RNAcentral describes it as "bacterial SSU rRNA". It matches the Rfam family "Archaeal small subunit ribosomal RNA", at positions 100 to 530 of the family's 1478-position model. The record is from RNAcentral.
GUAGUUAACCUAACCUUAGGACGGAGAUAACUCCGGGAAACUGGGGCUAAUAUCCGAUAGAUGGAAAUGCCUGGAAUGGUCUUCCGUUGAAAGGUUUUAAGGAACAUGCUCCUUUCAAAUGCCUAAGGAUGGGACUGCCGCCCAUCAGGCUGUUGGUAAGGUAACGGCCUACCAAACCUAUAACCGGUACGGGCCCUGAGAGGGGGAGCCCGGAGAUGGGAACUGAGACAAGGUCCCAUGCCCUAAGGGGCGCAGCAGGCGCGAAACCUCCGCAAUGCGCGAAAGCGUGACGGGGUUACCCCGAGUGCUGUCCGAUGAUCGAUAGCUUUUUUCUAGUGUAAAAAGCUAGGCGAAUAAAGGGGGGGCAAGACUGGUGUCAGCCGCCGCGGUAAUACCAGCCCCCUGAGUGAUAGGGACGAUUAUUUAGCCUAAAGCGUCCGUAGCCGGCU